This 347-nucleotide long non-coding RNA is filed under the name Hordeum vulgare. Its description in RNAcentral is "long non-coding RNA (HVUL_LNC017425)". The record is from RNAcentral. Lineage: Eukaryota; Viridiplantae; Streptophyta; Magnoliopsida; Poales; Poaceae.
UUCUAGGCAGUCUCUAGUUAGUCUUGGUAUAUAUUGUACGAUCAAGUUGAAAAGAACAAUGAUUCUCUUCUUGAGAAUUUGCAAGAUGGGCAUGGAAUCUUACUGUUAUCUACAGCCAAAGUGCGACAACUGACAAGAAUUCUUGCAUUUAUAGGGGUGUCCAUCAAUCGAUGCCGAAGUUAGGCUCCUCCCAAUGCUUCACCUUAUACAGGUGCUAAGCGUGUCAUGUAGGCGAAAAAUCUGAUGUGGCAACAUAAUUAAGAGGAGAGAGGUGAGUGUGAUGACCCCAGGAUGAAAAAUGCCAACCACGUGAACCUAGACAAAACACAUAAAUAAAAAACAAAAAC